CCUGACCUCCUGAUCCGCCCACCUCAGCCUCCCAAAGCUUUUUUUUUUUUUAAUUGAAACCUAAUGCACCUAUUCAAUUUGAGGAGCCUGACCCAUUUUGAUCACUGGUGAACUCACAGGACUUUGCACAGUUUCCUGCAUACAGUACCUGUUCAAUAAAUAUUUUUGCUGCAAUAAACAAAUUCAUACAGCUUCCUGCCAAAUUGACAUGAAUGUAGCCUAGGGAAAAUGGUUGGGUACUAAUCCAAUGUCUUAGUUCUUUUGUGCUGCUAUCCCAAAAUACUUCAGACUAGGUAAUUUACAAAAUUUAUUUCUCACAGUUCUGAAGGCUGAGAAGCCCAAGAUCAAGGCACCAGGAGAUUCAGUGUCUGGUAAGGGCCUCUUCUUCCAAGAAGGCACCUUGUUGUUUCUUCUAGAGGUGAUGGACACUGUGUCCUCACAUGGUGGAAACAAGAGAGGAACGGGGCCUAGCUAGUUUCCUCCCAGCGUGGUGGCCUCAGCCACACCUGGAUUUAUUUGAGCAAUAGUUGGGGUG
RNAcentral lists this long non-coding RNA (535 nucleotides) under Homo sapiens (human). Its description in RNAcentral is "non-protein coding lnc-ANKRD50-8:1". The record is from RNAcentral. Lineage: Eukaryota; Metazoa; Chordata; Mammalia; Primates; Hominidae.